AAAUAUUAAUAAAAAUACUUUUAACACUAUUUUAAAGGUGAAACUAUAUUUUUGAUCAUUAAAAGAUUCCUGAAAACAAACACUAAAUUUGAUGUUCUAUUUCAGAAAAUUUUUAUAUUUAGUUUUGUAAUAAAAUGGAAUGCAACAAUAAAACUGAAAAGCCAAAUCAGUUGUAUGUUUGUGAAUUAUACUUUUGGCCGCUGCACUAAAAGAUUUCUGAAACAGAACGCUAAAUUUGGUGUUCUAUUUCAAAAAACCUUCAUAUUUAGUGUUUUAAUAUAAGGGGAUGCAACGAUAAAAAGGAAAAUCCCGAUUGACUGUAUGAUUCAGAAUUAUACUUUUUAACUAUAAGAGAUAUUUUUAAAUGAAGCACUAAAUUUGUUGUUCUAUUUCAGAAAACUUUUUUCUUAUUGUUGCAUAAAAGUGGAUGCAACUAUAAAAAUUAAAAUCCAGAUCGCUUAUGUGAUUUAGAAUUGUAUUUUUGUUCGUUAAAAGAUAUUUGAAAUAGAACACUAAAUGUGGUGCUCAACUUUAGACAAACAUUUUACAUAUUUAGUACUGCAUAAACAUAAAAAUGAAGAAGCAGAUCGGUUAGCGAUUUAGACAAAUGAGGUACCUCACAUUGUUAUUCUUCAUUUCUGACCUACAUAAAAUUGUUGAAUAAUUUGCAGUUAAAGUGUGUUCUAAAAAGUCCUUCGAAAAGUCAGAUGCUUUUUUGUUGUUGUUAUUUUCAAUAAAAUAGUUUUGCUUUCGUUCAUUUUUAGUGUUGCAUAAAAAGUAAUGAAGCAUUAAAAAUGAAGAACCAGAUUGGUGGUCAGAUUUAACAUUAUGUUUUGAUCAUUAAAAUAUUUCCGAAAUGCAACACUAAAUUUGAUGUUCUACUUCAGGCAACUUUCACAUUUAGUAUUGCAUGUAAUGACAUACAAUCAUAAAAGUGAAGAAUCAGAUCGGUGGUCUGAUUUUAAUCAUUAAACGAUUUCCUAAAGAGAACACUAAAUUUGAUGUUCUACUUGAGAAAACUUUCAUAUUUAGUGUUGUAUGUAAUGAGAUGCAAUCAUGCAAAUGAAGAGUCAGAUCGUCCAGAUUCCGACAGAUGAGAUACUCUUACAUUGUUAAGUUUCAUUUCUCAUCUUCAUAAAAAAUUUUUUUAACAAUUUGAACUAAAUGAGUUUUUUUAAACGCUUUCAGAACAAGACAAUUUUUUGAUAAUUUGAAUGAAAUGGUUUUUAAAGAUUUUCUGUAAAAUUCCUUGUUAAAUCCAUGUUUAUAAUGAGUAUGCUUCAUACAAGCAUUAUAGCAGUUUACCAAUACAUUAAUAAAAAUUAUCUCUUUGAACCUGAAAUCUCGUAAAAUCUGUGGUCGAAAUAAAUGAGUUCGACUUAAUUUUUUUAAAUUAGCUGUUAUAAACGUGCCAAAAUUCAUUUUUUAUUUUGUAAUAAAACUGCUGAAUUAACUUUAAUAAAAUUUACUUAAUCAAGAAUCAAACGCAAAAGUAAACCACUUUAAGAAAGGAUAUUAAAACAAAAUUUUCCAACAACAUUCCCUAAAUCGAUUUAGUUUUUCUUUAAAUUUUGUGAUAGUUGAUAGCAUUUGUAAUACAACAACUUGUUCAAUGUGUCCAAGCACUGUGUUUUUAAGGUAUGCUCUUAUAUUUAAUACAGGAAUGUUAUUGUAUUUGAAAUAUGAAAUAUUUAGGAUGAAAAUUUUGAUUUUAGUGGCAAAUUUUUUUUUUUUGAGAGUUGAAUAAGGUGCUAAAAAUAAUAAGAAAGAAAUCUUUAUACUAAAUAUUAUAAACAUUGCACAAAAUUCAAUGAAUAUUGAGAUAAAUUUACUGAUGUUAUGAAUUAAUUACGAUUUGUUUUUUUCACAUCACUAUAGGUGGAGCUAUAGACCAGAUCAUUCAAGGAGAUUUGGGAUUCAUUGAAA
Molecule: non-coding RNA, 1926 nt
Organism: Parasteatoda tepidariorum (common house spider)
Lineage: Eukaryota; Metazoa; Arthropoda; Arachnida; Araneae; Theridiidae
Source: RefSeq, a predicted model, not a curated record